UUUUAUUAAAAGAAAAAGGGGUGAAAAGAACAAAGUUUUGUCCAUCUUUGUUCAUCAUAGCUGAAAGUUAGAGAAGAGAAAGGAGAGGAGAAAGCUCUUGAGUAUUCGGUCAUUAGGAGGAGGAAAAUUGAAGGUAAGUUCUUGGUACCUUGCUUCUAUUUUGAGGUUCAUGAGUUCUUCUUGAUUCUACCUUAACUCUUGAAGCAUAUUUUGGUUUUUGGUUGUGUUGUGAGCAUUUGGUCCUGAAUUAAAAUGAAGGAAAUGGUUGUUGUUUCAUGUUCUUUUGAUGAAAAAGGGAAGAUAUGUGAAGUUGAGCCAAACAAAUGAGCAUGCAUGUGCCUUAGAUGCUAAAGGGAAAAAUCGGCUAACAUGUUGUGCUUUAAAAUGAUGAAAUGGAGAUUAUGCUUAAGUAAAAUCAUAGAUAUGUCAUGAUUGAUUGGUGAUAUACAUGUUUAAAUAACAUGCAUGCAAGAUAGGUGUAUGAAAGAGUGAUUUGGUAAUAAAUCUGCUUGGGACAGCAGCAGUAACGUGACUUUGGAAAAUCACCAUAAAUUGUGAGAGAUGAAUUAGAAGCUGAAUAAAUUAUGUAAUUAAAGCUUAUUGAGUCUAGUUUCUAAUGAAAUAAACAAGAACAUAUUUUGAAUUCUGUACAAUGAGAAAUUUGAUUCGUAAUGAAGAGUGGUCAGAUUAGUCAAACAGUGAAACUUGGGAAACUUUGAGAAAAAUCUGGUAUUGAUUGGCUAAACCAAAAAUUCUGAAAAUUUUAUAGAUAGAAGAUAUAUGAGUCUAUUUUCAAGGAAAAUUAACGGAACUUGAUUUGGAGUUUCGUAGCUCCAGUUAUAAAUGAUUUAGUGACUGUUGCUCAGGAAGACAGCUUGCAGUGAAAUUAUGAUUAUGUGGUAAACAUUGACAAAAAUUUGUUAAUGAGUUGCUUAUUGAUUUCUUAUAAGCUUACUAUGAUCUGUAGGUGUGGUUGGCCGAAUAUUGUAAGGGGUUAAUACGUAGUUUGUAAUUGAAUAGUUAGAUUAACGUGUUAGUAAUCCAAUUGUAGGCGGUUCGUGUGUGGAUCUCGUCAGCAUAUCGUCGCAAACAGGUGUGUAACUAACACCCUCUUUCUUAGUCUAGAUCGUCAAAAGUCGAAAAGCCGAAAUGCCGAAAACCGGUAUUUUGUAGAUUUGUGAGUGUGCGAAUGCUCGUGAGGUAAAUCGAUUAAUGUUUUUGGUAAGCUACAAUGUUUGGACUGCAAAGUGCAUGAUUUCUGUGCCCUCGAUAUUUUUGGGCUUAAUGGGCCAAAAUUGGAAUGAUGGGCCAAUUGGCCCAAUUCGGUAAGAACCCUCGGUACGUGAUUCUGUUAGUACGUGAAAAGUAGGAAUAUGCAUGAAAAACCCUGAAAUAGAUAAAUUACUGAAAUACCUUUAAAAGUGGAAAAUUUACAAUUUUACCCCUAGUAGAUAAAUUACCGAAAUACCCCUAGAGUUAAAUUGACCUAAAUGCAUGUUUGACUGUUGUUAUUUACUGCAUGCCAUGUUGUUAUUAUCUGAUGCAUGGGAUUGGGAUAUUGACGGAGGAAGUACUGAAAGUGGCUUGUCCACGUACUGGAGGCUUUGCCUCAAUUUACUGUUAACUGAGCAGCAAGGCUGCAACUGUGGAGUGUUGGGCUGGGUGGGUUGAGCUAUUCCCCACAUGGAGUGUAGGGCUGGUACAGGUGGAGUGUAGUGGUUGGUGGGUUGAGUAGUCUCCCCAAAUGGGCUUGCAUAUGUUAUUGAUGUUGCAUGUAUUUUGAAAUGGGCCUAUGGGCCAUACUGUCAUCUGAAUAAGGGGCUAAGGCCCAGUUUAUUGUAAUCUGAAAAGGGCUCUGGUCCAGUACCACUGUUACCUGAAUGGGCUUAGGCCCAAUAGGCUUGAGCUGACUUGAGCUUUGAAUGGGUCUUCCUUACACACUGAGUUUCCCCAAACUCACCCCUUUUAUUAUCAUCCACACAGGAAAUCCCCAACCAUAGUGGGCUUGGAGCUGUGAGGGAAUUCGGAGUGGCCACCCGUUCUGAAAGUUUGAUUUUCUUCUGGUGAACUGGACAUCCUUUUAUUUACGUUUGAAGUUUUUGGGCUUUUAAAUGUAAUAAGGCCGCUUAAUUAUUUUUGAUGGUUUUAAUAUGUAUUACUAAGAUAGGUAAUACUUAUUUUAACUGUUGAAAUUGGAUAGCUUUAGGGCGCGUUUUCAAAAACAACAAUUGAUUUCAAAAUAACACGACAACAAGCAAAGCUUUCGCAAUGAAAGUAUUUUCCAAAAUUAAUCACUUUUCCUAAAAAUGACUUAAUCAAAUCGGUUUCCUAGAAAUAUCCAUGACGUUAAGGUGUGGCAAUGGUGG
This 2366-nucleotide long non-coding RNA is filed under the name Gossypium barbadense (sea-island cotton). RNAcentral's name for it is "long non-coding RNA (GBAR_LNC011619)". Lineage: Eukaryota; Viridiplantae; Streptophyta; Magnoliopsida; Malvales; Malvaceae. The record is from RNAcentral.